AACGAACGCUGGCGGCAGGCCUAACACAUGCAAGUCGAGCGAGAACUUCGGUCCUAGCGGCGGACGGGUGAGUAACGCGUGGGAACGUGCCCUUUGCUUCGGAAUAGCCCUGGGAAACUGGGAGUAAUACCGGAUGAGCCCUUUGGGGGAAAGAUGUAUCGGCGAAGGAUCGGCCCGCGUUGGAUUAGGUGGUUGGUGGGGUAAUGGCCUACCAAGCCGACGAUCCAUAGCUGGUUUGAGAGGAUGAUCAGCCACACUGGGACUGAGACACGGCCCAGACUCCUACGGGAGGCAGCAGUGGGGAAUCUUAGACAAUGGGGGAAACCCUGAUCUAGCCAUGCCGCGUGAGCGAGGAAGGCCUUAGGGUUGUAAAGCUCUUUCAGCUGGGAAGAUAAUGACGGUACCAGCAGAAGAAGCACCGGCUAACUCCGUG
RNAcentral lists this ribosomal RNA (433 nucleotides) under uncultured bacterium. RNAcentral's name for it is "partial 16S ribosomal RNA". It matches the Rfam family "Bacterial small subunit ribosomal RNA", at positions 29 to 507 of the family's 1533-position model. The record is from RNAcentral.